CACGGAGUUAGCCGAUGCUUAUUCAUAUGGUACCGUCAUCAACGUACACGUACGCCUUAUUCUUCCCAUAUAAAAGCAGUUUACAACCCAUAAGGCAUUCUUCCUGCACGCGGCAUGGCUGGUUCAGUCUUCCGACCCUUGACCAAUAUUCCUCACUGCUGCCUCCCGUAGGAGUCUGGUCCCUGUCUCAGUACCAGUGUGGGGGAUCUCCCUCUCAGGACCCCUACCUAUCGUAGCCUUGGGGUGCCGUUACCACUCCAACUAGCUAAUAGGACGCAUGCCCAUCUUUCACCACCGCAGUUUAAUUAUCAAAUGAUGCCAUCUAAUAAUAUUAUGGGGUAUUAAUCCAAAUUUCUUCGGGCUAUCCCCCUGUCGAAAGGUAGGUUGCAUACGCGUUACGCACCCGUGCGCCGGUUCUGCCCCCGAAAGGGCUUCUCCCUCGACUUGCAUGUGUUAGCCUGCCGCUAGCGUUCAUCCUGAGCCAGGAUCAAACUCU
Molecule: ribosomal RNA, 496 nt
Filed under: uncultured Capnocytophaga sp.
Lineage: Bacteria; Pseudomonadati; Bacteroidota; Flavobacteriia; Flavobacteriales; Flavobacteriaceae
Description: partial 16S ribosomal RNA
Source: RNAcentral